CGUUGAAUACGUUCCCGGGUCUUGUACACACCGCCCGUCAAGUCACCUGAAUUGUCUUCACCCGAAGUCCGUGGCCCAACCGUAAGGAGGGAGCGGCCGAAGGUGAGGGGGGUAAGGGGGACUAAGUCGUAACAAGGUACCC
This 142-nucleotide ribosomal RNA is filed under the name uncultured bacterium. RNAcentral's name for it is "partial 16S ribosomal RNA". It matches the Rfam family "Bacterial small subunit ribosomal RNA", at positions 1360 to 1501 of the family's 1533-position model. The record is from RNAcentral.